RNA transcript from Callithrix jacchus (white-tufted-ear marmoset), 2938 nucleotides. RefSeq lists it as uncharacterized. Lineage: Eukaryota; Metazoa; Chordata; Mammalia; Primates; Cebidae. The record is from RefSeq and is a predicted model, not a curated record.
UCAGCCCCCGAGACGCGGCGGCCGCGUCGAAUGGAAAACUUUCUCGGGCGGGGCGGCUCGGUGGGCCUGAAAAUCAGCACGCAGGGGAGGGGAGCCGAGAGGGCCGCGAGCUGCGCCGCUUAACCCUUGGCGCGCCGCGGCGCCGCAGCAGGGCCGUCCCGGGCCCCGCCGGCCUCCCCGGCCCCGGCCCGCGAGUCUGCGGAGGGAGAGCACGGGCCCCUCCACAGCGGCUGAGCAGCGAGUCGCUAAGUGUACAGAUGUCAGUCUGGCGUUUUACAUGUCAGUAACUGGAAUUCAUUUACAUUUAUUUUCCUAUUGUUUUAUAUCACUUUAUGACAAUGUGCUGCAUAAUAUAAUUUAAAUCUUUAAUGUACAACUAAUUCUCUACCAUUAAUUUGUCAACAUGAUUACUGGAUACGCCACCCGAGGAAGCAGGCUGACUUGAAGUCUGUGUAAGACGUUCCUGUGUUGUUUCCUGACGGUUUACGGAGGAAAUGACAAAGACGUACCGAGCUGUUUUUCUUGGACUGUCUGUAAUCUUAGGAAAACUACAAUUUCGGUGGGAGUCCCCCUUACACUGAGAAAUUCCAGACAUCAGUUGGGAAGAAGACGCACACACAGCCCCCUUAGAGGAGAGAUUAAUUAGGCAGCGCCGGUGAGCGCAGCAGUGGCCGGAGACCGGCGCUGGCCCAGCCCUUGAGCCAAGGGAUCCCCCAGGACGAGGCCCGGGCUGCGCGGGCGCUCGCGGGGGGAAGAGGAGGAGAGCCCGCGCCGGGCCGCACCUACGGGGCUGGGGAAACUUACAAAGGAAAGGGCGGUGCCUGUGGGCAAAGCGUUUCUGGGCCGCCCCAACUUCGGGGUCCCCCCAAACCUUGGCCUCGCUCUCGCGCCAGCGGCCAGAGCCUGACUUGGAAACGCUCUGGUCCUUCCCUCCGCGCCCUGGGAGGACGGGCCCCCCCUGCAGCCCGAGGCCGGGGAUCACGGCCAGGCGGCCGCCCCGUCACAAUUAAAAGGAAGCGACAGUACCCCAAACCUUAUUAAACAUUCAAAUAGAAAAAUUAAGAUAUUCUGGGCAAAAGAAGUGUUUAGACAAAGGCUGUCUGCUUCAAUUUCCCCGUUAAGCGGGGAGCUGGCUGCUCAGAGAGAGAGAGUGACGGUGGAUUCCAUAAAUUAACUGAAAAUCCCUCUUCUCCGGAGCCCAAGUUAUCUCUCCUUUGCCUGCAGCUCUGAUUUAGAAUGGGAGCCGGCUUGUUUACCGGUUUAAUUAAUGCUCCUUUUCAAGCAGGGAGGAGGGGAAGGGAAAUGAAGCGACUUGGUGAUAAACAGGUGUAGCCGGGCCUAGAGCGGGGCUCACCGGGGCCGCGGCCGCUUCCUCAGGCUUGACUGGGCCUGACCCGGCGGAAAAGGUAGAUGGCCCAGUUGGAAGCGCAGUAGAAUGCAUUCUGAUUCCUCCGCGUUGCUGAGCGGAGAAGGAACAGAUCUUGGCGAUAGAGGGCACAGGCGUGUUUCCUUCUCUGUGGCCUCCUCUUCCUCAGCCUUCACCUCCAAAUAUACUCUCUCACUGUAUCACCAGACUGGAGUUCAGUGGCACGAUAUCCGCUCACUACAACCUCUGACUCCCUGGUUCAAGCGAGUCUCCUGCCUCAGCCUCCUGAGUAGCUGGGACUACAGGUGCACACUAUCAUGCCCAGUGUGAAAAUGGACUAAUACAACCGGGAAGAUGGCCACAGAAGAAACAUUCCUUCAGCUCAUAAUGAUUUCAGAAAUAACCCACAUCUGCCCAACAUACCCCCACCUUAGAGGUCUGAAAUUCAACAGGGCACAACCAUCUAGGCCCUCAGCAGCCUUGACCAAGGACUGGAACACAGACUUCCCAGGACUCUUCCCUGAAACCUCAGUUCCAUCUGUGAUGAGUCCCCAGGUCAGGAGGCAGAUUCCGGUACAGCCCACAGGGCUGGAAGCUCAUAUGGCUUUCUGACCACCCAAGCCUUCUGCAGGGACUUUGUUCAGGCAAAGUUGUGACUUGUCUCUGGACAAGGCCAGUGAAGCCUGGCAGGAAGGAAAACAACGGACUCCCCCAAGGAAUCAGGAGGAAUUUUCUUAGCUGAGGCUGCAGACCCCCAGUGGGGUGGGCCCAGAGGCUGCUCAGACAACCAAUGGCGACAUCCCUGGCUGGGAACAAUAGAGCCCCACACCUCAGCUACCUUCUGGGCUCUGGCUUCCCAGUGGUGAAGCCUUAUUAAAUUUGGGAUUACCAUGUGUAAAGCGCAGUCUGAAUUUUGUUUGCUCUGCCAUGUAACUUGCCUUUCUAAACACUCAGUCAGAGCUGCAGUUAAUCUACUGACCAUGGGCUUAACCGGCAGGUGGCCAGGAGGCCCCCACCAAAUUCCUCCUGACCCUUUGUUACCUGGCCUGGAAGGGAGAGGCUUCUUGUUUGGGAAGUGUUUCUCCUCCCCCCGAACAUUUUCAGUAUUAAGAGUCUUUUGUCACCAUAAAUCUGGAGCGGGGAUUAUGACGGGCAGGCUGUCACCCAGAUUGUUUCCUCCAGAGGAUAAUGGGAAAAGUUUGCGGGCUGGCCUAAUGAAACCUUUAUUCCAGGGACAAUGCCAUUUCCAUUAAAUUAAAGCUCAAGCCUUAACAAUGCCCCAGAAUAAACCCCAUUUGAAUAUUUAAUUUGGAAUGGAAGGAGCUGGGUAAACACCUCAGUCCCAUCAGCCCCUUUCUGGAGACCUCUUGCAACAAACUCAAGAGAGAGUCCUGCGUUGUUGAUGUCAGGUUAGCACCUGUUGCUGCCAGUGUCAAAGGUAGAAAAUUCCAAAUCUUUAAUAUUAAAUGGACAAUAAAGAAUGUUAGUCCUAACUGAAAAAAAAUCUAGGAAGUGAAUACUGAUCAGAUAAGUAAUGAACUAAAAUCUGUUUGUUCUGAGCCUUGCAAGCUA